UAGGGAAUCUUCCACAAUGGACGCAAGUCUGAUGGAGCAACGCCGCGUGAGUGAAGAAGGUUUUCGGAUCGUAAAGCUCUGUUGUUGGUGAAGAAGGAUAAGGAUAGUAACUGAUCCAUAUUUGACGGUAAUCAACCAGAAAGUCACGGCUAACUACGUGCCAGCAGCCGCGGUAAUACGUAGGUGGCAAGCGUUGUCCGGAUUUAUUGGGCGUAAAGCGAACGCAGGCGGGAUAACAAGUCAGCUGUGAAAGCCCUCGGCUUAACCGGUGAAGAGCAGCUGAAACUGAUAUUCUUGAGUGCAGAAGAGGAGAGUGGAACUCCAUGUGUAGCGGUGGAAUGCGUAGAUAUAUGGAAGAACACCAGUGGCGAAGGCGGCUCUCUGGUCUGUAACUGACGCUGAGGUUCGAAAGCAUGGGUAGCGAACAGG
RNAcentral lists this ribosomal RNA (429 nucleotides) under uncultured Lactobacillus sp. RNAcentral's name for it is "bacterial SSU rRNA". It matches the Rfam family "Bacterial small subunit ribosomal RNA", at positions 355 to 776 of the family's 1533-position model. The record is from RNAcentral. Lineage: Bacteria; Bacillati; Bacillota; Bacilli; Lactobacillales; Lactobacillaceae.